Molecule: long non-coding RNA, 2810 nt
Organism: Bos taurus (domestic cattle)
Lineage: Eukaryota; Metazoa; Chordata; Mammalia; Artiodactyla; Bovidae
Source: Ensembl
UACCUUCUAUGGGAUCUUUUACAUUUUCUAUAGUGUGUUAGUAAUAGCCAACACUCAUGAACUACAGCUGUGUUCAAGUCCCUGUAUAGCUGUAUGGCCUUGGCUCAUACUAAAUAUGCAUGAAAUUGCAGCAUGAAAUUUGGUAUCAAUUGAGAACAGCUAGUGAAAGUAUUGGGUAAAAACUGUGUAAGAUGUCAUUUUUACCUUCAAAUUAUUUUCUGUCUAAUAUGAAUAAAAGCAUAGCACAUAAAUAACUAAAAUUCAAGAUAGAAUACAGUAGAUUGCAUAACAAUUAUAUGGAAGUAAGAGAGUAUCUUUGUUCAGUGUAUUUUAUAUUCUUAUUAAAACAAUAAUGUUUUAACUGGUUAAUAGGUAGCUUUCCCAAAGAGUUUUAAAGGGCAGAGGUUGUUUGAUGAGAAAGGAAAAAUUUAAAAGUGGGGUAAAGGAAAAGCAAUGUAUGUGUUCAGGGAAUAGAAAGAUAGCAAGGCAUGGGUUGAGAAAAUUGAGUGUCUUCAUUUUCCCUGGAGCAUAGGAAAGUAAUGAGAUAGCCAGAAAGGUUGUUUGGGGAUAGCUACCCUUCAUCUGAAAUUUUAGAUUAAGAAAUCUAUGCAUAAUUUGGUAGGCAUGUGGAAACCAUUAAAAGUUUAUAUACAGCGAAGUGAUGUAAUCAAAGUUGUCCUUUAAGAAGAUUGAAAAGGCAAUGAUGUAAUAGGAAUUAUUGAAGAAUAAAUUUGGAAAUAUCAAGGAAGCUUUUAUAAUAGUAGAAACAGGAGGUAAAGAGGAUCUGAUCUAGGGAGGUGGCGGUGGGAUUCAGAAAAUGAGAUAAAAAACAUUCUCAGGGUGGAAUCUAACAAACUGGGGUAGAGGAAAAGAACAAGGGCAUCAGAGGUGAAAACAAGACCUCAAGCCUAAAUGAGAGUAAGAGUGCGAGUGCCAUUAGUAGGGUACACUGAUAGCUGGCUUUGCCUACAGAGUAUCUGAAAGUAGAGAGUCCAAGAAGUUGGAAAUACAGAUCUGGUCCUUUGAAGGAAGGCUGGAGUUACAGAUUUGGGAUCCAUCUACAAUUAAGUUGUAUAAAUAGUUGAUACGCCCAAAGGAAGAAGGUUUUGAAGAGAAAUACUGCUGAGAGCAGACUGGAAGGAAACAGAAGAGAUUUUUCUGAUUGGGAACAGCUGCAUGUAGAGAAGCAUUAGCACUCUUGAGGCUCCAUAAUUUCAGCUACAAGUCUAUGGGAGUGAUGAUUUUGCCCACUGGAGACCCUGACAAGGUAUCUCUGGUAGGGGCCAUCCUGAUGAGCCUGACGGGAGGCAAGUGCUGACAGAGCGUUGCACUGCCUUUACUGCCACUAUUGCUGCCUGUGUUCGUCAUGGUCUGGACAUGAUCCACACGCAUCAUCAUAAACUGGGCAAAGUAGAAGAGUCUAUGUUUCUGAUGCAAAGGCUACCACUGCAUGUCAGACUUGGACUGCUGACAAAAAGUGACACAUUCAUUUCACAGGGAGUAAGGAUACAUUGUGUGAGUGUGGUCCCCACCCACUCCUGGCAUUUUGAUUACAUUGGACUUCUGACCCCGUCUCAGGGCUAUUGGUAAUGGCUCGCUGCUCCUGACCCUUUUUCAGCUUUGGUGUUAUUGGUCUAGUCCAAUCAACUGACUCUAACCACACCACUGUGGCCCCUGAACACUAAUCUGUGUCAUGCUUUUGGCUUUCUGGUCCAUUUACAGUCUGACAAAGGUACACUUGUUAUUGCAAAGGUCACUCAAUAAUGGGCUACUGGCUAAGGUAUUUAGAGCACUUUCCAUGCUGCUAUCCUUAGACCUCUGGUGUUGUUGAGCGUGGGUAACGGUCACUUCAAAAAUCAACUCAAAAAGACCUCUUCUUCUAUAUCGCUCACCUCCUCCUAGUUCACAUGCUUUAAUACUAAGUAUUGUGGUCACUGAAUGGUCUCCAGAAAGGAAGCAUCUCCUUUUGCCCACUUCCUAGGUAAUGAUAAGGACAAAGGGGAUAGGAGUUUAUAAACCUACUAUGAAAAUUCAGAAGCCUACUGUGGGCAUGACAUGUCUUUCUUUCCCCUACUGAAAACUACUGGCUGGCUGGGUUGGUUCCGGGUUGGUACACUCUCUUGGUGGCAACCCAGCCAAACGGAGCCUAUGGGAUUUGAAUUCAAAUCUGGUUCAGCUCCUUGAAUUCCCUUAUUGGAUGGAUAUAGUCCUAGAUUAUAAGGAUGAUGAUUACAUAGUGGAAUAUUUGCUCCCUGAGUCCCCUAACAGUUCCAUAAGGGCCAAAAUGGGAGACAUAAGGAGUGCCUGUGUGUUUUAGAAAAAUGUUCCUGUGUCUUUUGCACCUAUCCUUCUGAAACAGGAGGGAAGGGGGCAGGGCACAACCUUUGAAAGAAUGACAUAGCCCAAGGACACAACAUAAAUCAAUUGGAAUCCAAUGGCUCCAAGAUGGCAGACAGGUCAACUUUGACUAGACCUUGAUCUUCAAUCAGCAAGCUAAAUGACACACCCAGAGGCCCUAUGACAGUUCCAAGGCACCAUCAAAAGACCAAAAAGUGAGUGGUGGGUCAAUUUUUGUAAAUCUCCACCUCUUCUCCAAAACAAUUGGAAUAAUCCUCCCACUCAUUAGCCUAUGAGAUUACCCAGCCCAUAAAAACUAACCAUGCCACAUUUUGAAGCUGCACUUGCCCUCUGCAAUGGCUCACACUGUCUGUGGAGUAUGUUUCUCUCUGAAUAAAACCACUUCUUACCUGUUAUUUUGUCUCUCACUGAAUUCUUCCUGCAAUAUCAUCAAGAACCUUCAUUAGGUCCUG